UACGUAGGGCGCAAGCGUUGUCCGGAAUUAUUGGGCGUAAAGAGCUCGUAGGCGGCUUGUCACGUCGGGUGUGAAAGCCCGGGGCUUAACCCCGGGUCUGCAUUCGAUACGGGCUAGCUAGAGUGUGGUAGGGGAGAUCGGAAUUCCUGGUGUAGCGGUGAAAUGCGCAGAUAUCAGGAGGAACACCGGUGGCGAAGGCAGCACUCUGGGACGUGACUGACGCUGAGACGCGAAAGCGUGGGGAGCAAACAGG
This 253-nucleotide ribosomal RNA is filed under the name uncultured bacterium. Its description in RNAcentral is "partial 16S ribosomal RNA". It matches the Rfam family "Bacterial small subunit ribosomal RNA", at positions 524 to 776 of the family's 1533-position model. The record is from RNAcentral.